RNAcentral lists this ribosomal RNA (497 nucleotides) under uncultured bacterium. Its description in RNAcentral is "partial 16S ribosomal RNA". It matches the Rfam family "Bacterial small subunit ribosomal RNA", at positions 28 to 507 of the family's 1533-position model. The record is from RNAcentral.
GAUGAACGCUGGCGGCGUGCCUAAUACAUGCAAGUCGAGCGAACGGACGAGAAGCUUGCUUCUCUGAUGUUAGCGGCGGACGGGUGAGUAACACGUGGAUAACCUACCUAUAAGACUGGGAUAACUUCGGGAAACCGGAGCUAAUACCGGAUGAUAUUUUGAACCGCAUGGUUCAAAAGUGAAAGACGGUCUUGCUGUCACUUAUAGAUGGAUCCGCGCUGCAUUAGCUAGUUGGUAAGGUAACGGCUUACCAAGGCAACGAUGCAUAGCCGACCUGAGAGUGUGAUCGGCCACACUGGAACUGAGACACGGUCCAGACUCCUACGGGAGGCAGCAGUAGGGAAUCUUCCGCAAUGGGCGAAAGCCUGACGGAGCAACGCCGCGUGAGUGAUGAAGGUCUUCGGAUCGUAAAACUCUGUUAUUUGGGAAGAACAUAUGUGUAUGUAACUGUGCACAUCUUGACGGUACCUACUCAGAAAGCCCCGGCUAACUACGUG